CUCCACUGUGCUGCUGUUGCCUGUAAGAGCCUCCACUCAUACAGAGAGGAGAGGACAGAUGCAGGGGCCCCUGAGCCAGCCAAUCACCCUCAGGGGUCAGACAUCAUUAUCUCCAAGCUGGUAAUUUCUCACACCAGUGGAUACCAUUGCAGUAGCCUCUCUGGAUGAAAUAAAGAAAAAAAAAGAAAACUAGAAGAGGAAACUGAGGGGAAAAAAACAACAAAAAAAGAAAAGAGAAUAUUAUCUCCACUUUGGACAAAGGAAACAACAGAUAAUCUACAAUAAAAAUCUUUAUCUCAA
Long non-coding RNA from Hyla sarda, 300 nucleotides. RefSeq lists it as uncharacterized. The transcript is spliced from 3 exons. NCBI's taxonomy places the organism in Eukaryota, Metazoa, Chordata, Amphibia, Anura, Hylidae. The record is from RefSeq and is a predicted model, not a curated record.